GAUGAACGCUAGCGGCAGGCUUAAUACAUGCAAGUCGUACGGGAUCCGAGGUAGCAAUACUUUGGUGAGAGUGGCGCACGGGUGCGUAACACGUAUGCAACCUACCUUUAACCGGGACACAACCUUGAGAAAUUGAGGCUAAUAUCCCAUAACACUGCGAGAUGGCAUCAUUUUGCAGUUAAAACUCCGGUGGUUAUAGAUGGGCAUGCGCGACAUUAGCUAGUUGGUGAGGUAACGGCCCACCAAGGCUACGAUGUCUAGGGGUUCUGAGAGGAUUAUCCCCCACACUGGUACUGAGACACGGACCAGACUCCUACGGGAGGCAGCAGUAAGGAAUAUUGGUCAAUGGGCGCAAGCCUGAACCAGCCAUGCCGCGUGAAGGAUGACGGCCCUAUGGGUUGUAAACUUCUUUUGUACGGGAAAAAACCUACUGGUCGUGUACCAGAGCUGAUGGUACCGUAAGAAUAAGCAUCGGCUAACUCCGUGCCAGCAGCCGACGG
This 500-nucleotide ribosomal RNA is filed under the name uncultured bacterium. Its description in RNAcentral is "bacterial SSU rRNA". It matches the Rfam family "Bacterial small subunit ribosomal RNA", at positions 28 to 520 of the family's 1533-position model. The record is from RNAcentral.